This is a long non-coding RNA of Pezoporus flaviventris, 345 nucleotides long. RefSeq lists it as uncharacterized. The transcript is spliced from 3 exons. The record is from RefSeq and is a predicted model, not a curated record. NCBI's taxonomy places the organism in Eukaryota, Metazoa, Chordata, Aves, Psittaciformes, Psittacidae.
AGGCAAGAAAGUGCCACAAGAGCUUAAUCUGAACUCAGCUGGGGACCAUUGACUUCAGAAGGCUGUGGAUGAGGUCUGUUCCUGAAUAUGGAUGGGUCUGCGCGUAGCAGGGCUGCCUUUGACUCAUCUGUCAAUUUGAUCGUGUAAAGCCUCUGUUUUCAGCUGGCAUCCAGUGCAGAUUUCAAAGCUGUGACUCACCCGUUCCUGCAGAGUUGAGACUAAAAGGGAAGAUGAAAAUAAGCUUUUGCAUGGAAGAAUUUGAAGAGGUUUUGGACGGUCAAUACGUUCAUGGAGCCUGUUGGCAACGAAAUACCUCCAGACCUCUCAUCCUCACCAAAAGGUAUG